This 72-nucleotide transfer RNA is filed under the name Ictidomys tridecemlineatus (thirteen-lined ground squirrel). RNAcentral describes it as "Spermophilus tridecemlineatus (thirteen-lined ground squirrel) tRNA". It matches the Rfam family "tRNA". Rfam says of the family: Transfer RNA (tRNA) molecules are approximately 80 nucleotides in length. Lineage: Eukaryota; Metazoa; Chordata; Mammalia; Rodentia; Sciuridae. The record is from Rfam by way of RNAcentral.
GGGGUUGUAGCUCAGUGGUAGAGCACUUGCCUAGCAUGUAUGAGGCACUGGGUUCAAUCCUCAGCAUCACAU